ACGUUCCUUUCGUUUCCGGGAGCUGCAAAGAGAUGGACACAUUUGUUUUCUCUUUCAACAACUUCACGGGAAGCAUUCCACCAGCUUUGGGAAAUUGCAGCAGCCUAACACAAUUUGCUGCUGUCAGUUGUGCCUUAACCGACCCAAUUCCUCCCUCUUUUGCCCAACCAGGAAACCUGAUGAAUCUUUAUCUCUCGAACAACAGGCUGUCAGGAGAAAUUCCACAGGAGCUGGGACGGUGCGCGUCCUUGGUUGAUCUGCGGAUAGAGGAAAACCAACUAGUAGGCCAAAUUCCAGUUGAGCUAGAAAAGCUCAGCCAGCUGCAGAGCCUGUUUCUCUUUACCAACCAUUUGACUGGCGAAAUCCCUCUUGGUAUAUGGAAGAUUCAAAGCCACGAAUUAAAAAAUCAAAACCAACCCAAUAAAUUAGCUAACAACCAAAUGCAAGACCCAAAAAAAAAAAAUCACAGAGAAAAAUGAACAAAUUUCUGAGCUACUUGAAAUACCAAAAAAAUAAAAGCCUGAAACAAUAAAGGAAAAAGCAUAGCAAAACUCAAUAGUCAAAAUCUCACCUUCGGAAAGCAACAACGAAGAAAAAAAUGUAAAAAUAAAAACUCACCCAUGAAUGCUAGACGUCGGAACAAACCCAGUGGCAAUCAUUAAACAACACAACUUGAACUCUACUACUGAUUGAAAGCAGCGGUGAACAAAAGGGAAAAAGUUGCAAGUUUCACCGUUUACCGCCGACCACUGCUCUCGAUCAUUAAUUUAUCACGGCGAGGAGAACAUAAAACCAACUAGUAAAAAACAACAAUGAACUGCCAGCAGAAUGAGGCAUAAAACUACAAGUUUGGGCAUCCAGAUCCACACAAAAAGGGUAAAAAGUCGAUUAAAUAAAGAAAAAAUUAGGGCUUUGCAUGUUACCUGAUUUGCUGAGAUACUCUAAAUAUUUCACUUGUUUAGAUUCUUCAAACCGUCUUUUGCCCACUUCUAGUUACCCUCUGCAGUCAUUCGGCUUUGGUUCUUCCUCAAUCGCAAGAAAAAGGCAAAAAAUUUUGGCAAACUCAAGAUUCAGUUUUGCCUUGUAUUUUCCGCCCGACAUAAUGGGUUUGGAGGAGAAGAAGGGUGCUUUUGUCUGUUCGGUUAUUAUUUGAGGAUAAAGUUGUCAUUUGGGUCAUAAAAUAAACGGUGUGUAAAUAUCCGUUAUUUUCCGUUAUUUUUCAAUGAAGUUUGGGUGUAAAGUGCCUAUAAAC
RNAcentral lists this long non-coding RNA (1252 nucleotides) under Coffea arabica (coffee). Its description in RNAcentral is "long non-coding RNA (CARA_LNC003573)". The record is from RNAcentral. Lineage: Eukaryota; Viridiplantae; Streptophyta; Magnoliopsida; Gentianales; Rubiaceae.